UCCUAUUGUGCGUCCCUUAUGGGAGGGGCCU
RNAcentral lists this small RNA (31 nucleotides) under Bombyx mori (domestic silkworm). RNAcentral describes it as "ovarian small RNA-7377". The record is from RNAcentral. Lineage: Eukaryota; Metazoa; Arthropoda; Insecta; Lepidoptera; Bombycidae.